RNAcentral lists this long non-coding RNA (701 nucleotides) under Dermacentor andersoni. RNAcentral describes it as "uncharacterized LOC126527705". The record is from RNAcentral. Lineage: Eukaryota; Metazoa; Arthropoda; Arachnida; Ixodida; Ixodidae.
GUGUUGCGCACUUGCGCGGGCCGAGGCGUCGAGCGCUCGGCCGCGCUGGCGCUCCCACGUAGCCGCUGCGGCAACCCGCCACGUGACGUAGUGUUGCGCAGUUGCGCGGGCCGAGGCGUCGAGCGCACGACCGCGCUGGCGCUCCCACGUAGCCGCAGUGGCAAACCGCUACGUGAGGUAGUGUUGCGCAGUUGCGCGGGCCGAGGCAUCGAGCGCACGACCGCGCUGGCGCUCCCACGUAGCCGCUGCGGCAACCCGCCACGUGACGUAGUGUUGCGCAGUUGCGCGGGCCGAGGCGUCGAGCGCACGACCGCGCUGGCGCUCCCACGUAGCCGCUGCGGCAAACCGCUACGUGAGGUAGUGUUGCGCAGUUGCGCGGGCCGAGGCAUCGAGCGCACGACCGCGCUGGCGCUCCCACGUAGCCGCUGCGGCAACCCGCCACGUGACGUAGUGUUGCGCAGUUGCGCGGGCCGAGGCGUCGAGCGCACGACCGCGCUGGCGCUCCCACGUAGCCGCUGCGGCAACCCGCCACGUGACGUAGUGUUGCGCAGUUGCGCGGGCCGAGGCAUCGAGCGCACGACCGCGCUGGCGCUCCCACGUAGCCGCUGCGGCAACCCGCCACGUGACGUAGUGUUGCGCAGCUGCGCUGACCGAGGCGUCGAGCGCUCGGCCGCGCUGGCGCUCUCACGUAGCCGCUGUGA